Small nuclear RNA from Prolemur simus (greater bamboo lemur), 103 nucleotides. Lineage: Eukaryota; Metazoa; Chordata; Mammalia; Primates; Lemuridae. The record is from Ensembl.
GUGCUUUGGCAGCACAUAUACUAAAACUGGAAUAAUGAAGAGAAGAUUGGCAUGGCCCCUAUGCAAGGAUGACCCAAAAGUUAAAAAAAAAAAAAAAAAACAG